Molecule: ribosomal RNA, 460 nt
Filed under: uncultured bacterium
Lineage: Bacteria
Description: partial 16S ribosomal RNA
Rfam family: Bacterial small subunit ribosomal RNA
Source: RNAcentral
CCUACGGGAGGCUGCAGUGAGGAAUAUUGGUCAAUGGACGCAAGUCUGAACCAGCCAUGCCGCGUGCAGGAUGACGGCUCUAUGAGUUGUUAACUGCUUUUGUACGAGGGUAAACCCCGAUACGUGUAUCGGGUUGAAAGUAUCGUACGAAUAAGGAUCGGCUAACUCCGUGCCAGCAGCCGCGGUAAUACGGAGGAUCCGAGCGUUAUCCGGAUUUAUUGGGUUUAAAGGGUGCGUAGGCGGGUUGAUAAGUUAGAGGUGAAAGGUCGGGGCUCAACCCCGAAACUUCCUCUAAUACUGUUGGACUAGAGAAUAGUUGCGGUAGGCGGAAUGUAUGGUGUAGCGGUGAAAUGCUUAGAGAUCAUACAGAACACCGAUUGCGAAGGCAGCUUACCAAACUAUAUCUGACGUUGAGGCACGAAAGCGUGGGUAGCAAACAGGAUUAGAUACCCUUGUGGUC